UACGAAGGGGGCUAGCGUUGUUCGGAUUUACUGGGCGUAAAGCGCACGUAGGCGGAUACUUAAGUCAGGGGUGAAAUCCUGGAGCUCAACUCCAGAACUGCCUUUGAUACUGGGGAUCUCGAGUCCGGAAGAGGUGAGUGGAACUGCGAGUGUAGAGGUGAAAUUCGUAGAUAUUCGCAAGAACACCAGUGGCGAAGGCGGACUCACUGGUCCGGUACUGACGCUGAGGUGCGAAAGCGUGGGGAGCAACAGG
RNAcentral lists this ribosomal RNA (253 nucleotides) under uncultured bacterium. Its description in RNAcentral is "partial 16S ribosomal RNA". It matches the Rfam family "Bacterial small subunit ribosomal RNA", at positions 524 to 775 of the family's 1533-position model. The record is from RNAcentral.